Molecule: long non-coding RNA, 2278 nt
Filed under: Homo sapiens (human)
Lineage: Eukaryota; Metazoa; Chordata; Mammalia; Primates; Hominidae
Description: long independently transcribed non-coding RNA 1270 (LINC01270)
Source: RNAcentral
AUUAAUGACCCGGAGCCACAUGACGGAGCAUGACACAGCACUUUUGGGCACAAGGCAGGGCCCAGAGGGGUGCGUGGGGGCCGCAGCCCAGCCCCCAAGCCCCGCCAGCGGCUUUACUGGGGUGUAACAAACACACGAUAAACUGCGCAUAUUCCAGUGUUCAUGUGGAUGAGUUUGGACAUAUGCACACACUUCCGAAACCACCAGCACAAUCAAGACAGCAGACAUAUCCAUCGCCCCCAAGGGUGUCCUUGUGUCUUUUUGUCAUUCAUCCCUCCCGGCCGCCCCAUCCACACUCCCAUCGCCUGCCGACUGUGGCUGAUCUGCUUUCUGCGGCUGUGGAUUAGUUUGCGUUCUCUACAAUUUUCUGAAGCACCAGUUAGCCCAGAUGCUUCUCAUCUUUGGAGUUGAGCUGCAGGCUGGAGACCUGGAAGGCCCUCGCAGCGCCUGCUCCCAUCCUCUCACCUCACGAAAGCGCAGGAAUGUGGGUUUGGAGCCAAUGAAAAGUACUGGAAUCUGGCUCUGCUCUGUGACCCUGGACAAGUCACUGCCCCUCUCUGGGCUUCAGUUUCCUCCUUGCUCCAUGAGGGCAGGGGAUUUUGUCUGUUUCAUUCACAAUGUGUUCCCAGAGCUCAGCACAGUGUCAGGCACACACUAGGUAACAGCACCUCGACUUCCUACUGAAGAACCCCCUCUUCCCUUUUCUCAGUCCAUGAGGCUGGGGGUGCCCAGAGGCCUCUGUCUCCAGGGGUGGACAUGUGACCGGGUCUUGCUCUAGUGAUUGGUCCAGGGAUGGGCACAUGACUGAGCCUGCCCAAUGAAACUUGAUCUUGGGACUUCAGGGUUGGCCAUGAUUUGUGAAGGAGAUGCCAUUUUCCAUUGGAUGGACAGUGAGCAAGUGAACGCUUAGAGAAGAAGAGGACAAAACAAGGGAAAAGCCUGCCUGACAGGAAGCAGCACAGAGCUGGACAGGCUUUGAACUCCUGGAUCCCACUGUACCUGAAAUUAGGCACCUUCAACUUUCUAGUUAUGUGAGCCACUGUCUUUCCCAUUUUUGGCUGAAAACAGUUGGGACUGGCUUUCUGUCCCUUGCAUACAGAAGGUGCUGACUGACCCCUGCCCCAUGGAAGAAGAUACUCCAGGCAGAGGAAAUAGUGUGUAUAGACACCCCUAAGCGAAUGCCAAGCGGGGCACUCAUGUACCAAGAAGAAGGAGGAGGAGGCACCUGGGAGCUGAGCUUAAGAGUUAGUCGGGUGGUCAAGGUGGGAGAAGGGGGUAUCUUUAGCAGAGGGAACAACCAUUGCAAAAGCUUGGAGGGGUGACUAGUUAGUGAAGAUCAACUGUGUGCUGAGCUCGUGUUGGGUGGCAAGGGACACAGACGAAAAGGGCACGGUGGAACCCAGCUACUUCUCACCUGCUCCAGCGCAGUGCAGGCUUGUCUGCUUUUGGAGCCGAGCCUGGACACCUCCGUGUCCUUCCCCCGGCAGAGUGCUGCCAGCACGCUGUCUCAGACUCUCCAGCAUCUCCUGGUUGAUGUGCAUCAUGGGGACCACACAAGAUUAUUUUAUAGGCUGCACAGGCAAAGCAUAAAAUCACCUCGGGUCACAUAGCGAGAGUUAUUCUCUCUGCAAAUUCUUUACAGUCUUUCCUUUAUAUCCAGAAGAGUCUCUGUGUGGUGCUAACUUGCCUCGAAGACCAAAUAAUUGCUAGUCUCCCUUUGUGAAAAGGAGAGCAGGUGUCAGGCUCAUUCAUGUCUCAGGCACACAAUUGUAUCUAGCUAGACUUUUCAAAAUGUCCUAUAGAGCUGCAGCACAUAUGAAUGAGGUGUCCAGCUGGUCCCAAACCUGUAAUCGGCACCCCAGUGAGCAGACUGGACAUCCCCACCCCCACAGCUGCCCUUUCUCCCCUCCACUCAUGUUCCCUCUAGGGCCACCACGAUCCCGACUUGUAUCACCACAGAUGAGUUUCACAUGUUUUUGAAUUUUACAUCUUAUCUGUUUUCUGUUCCUAUACAAGUUUGCCUUUUUUGAAUUCCAUAUAAGUGGGAUUCUACAAUGUGUUAUCUCAAUUUGAGUCUGUUUUUUUUUUCCUGCUCAGCAUGAUGUUUUUGAGAUGCAUAUAUGCGGUUUUGUGUAUCUGUAGAUGGUUCUUUUUUAUUGCAGAAUAAUGUUCCAGGGUAUGGAUGUACCAAAGCUUGUUCAUCCAUUCACCAGCUGAGGGAUAUUUGGACUGUUUCCAGUUUUCAGCCAUUAUAAAUAAAGCCACUAGAAACAUUUGC